Molecule: long non-coding RNA, 457 nt
Filed under: Homo sapiens (human)
Lineage: Eukaryota; Metazoa; Chordata; Mammalia; Primates; Hominidae
Description: HSALNT0096576
Source: RNAcentral
UCUAGUGAACAUCCUACCAGAAAACUUCUUUACAGUUUGGUGAGGGUCUGGAGUAUGCUGGAGAAUGGGGAUGGAUGAAGAAGGAGCCAAAAGUUGGUCAAAUGAAAUCACUUUAUGGAUCUCAAAACACCAGUGAGCCCUCUCACCACCAGACCCCAUACUGAAGUGCUCCUGAGAGGAGAAGCCACCCAUGGCUGCUGAGCAUCUGGCAUCAAAAUGAGGGCUAACAAUGCCCUCUAACACAAAGUAGCUCCUGGUUCAGUAGCAGUCAUUUAACAGAUGCUGCUUCCCCUGUUGGUUUUGCCCCCAGCCCACUAGAAGUCUCAUGAACUGUUACUUAAUGAGCUAAAACCCACUCCCUAGGUAAGGGAAGCAGAAAAGAUAGAUGUUGUUGCACCAGUUUCAGAUCUCCAGUGAGUGGCGUACCACUGCUCAGACUGACAUAUUUAAUGAAGGA